Molecule: ribosomal RNA, 1484 nt
Filed under: metagenome
Description: bacterial SSU rRNA
Rfam family: Bacterial small subunit ribosomal RNA
Source: RNAcentral
AGAGUUUGAUCCUGGCUCAGAAUGAACGCUGGCGGCGUGGAUUAGGCAUGCAAGUCGGACGGGCAUAGCAAUAUGUCAGUGGCGACCUGGUUAGUACAAGUUGGGUAACCUGCCGGAAAGUGGGGAACAACCUCUCGAAAGAGGGGCUAAUACCGCAUGUGGUCACGGGGUCUUAGGAACCUGUGACGAAAGCAGCGAUGCGCUUUCCGAUGGGCCCGACCACCAUUAGCUUGUUGGUAGGGUAAUGGCCUACCAAGGCGACGAUGGUUAGCUGGCCUGAGAGGGUGGUCAGCAACACGAGGACUGAGAUACGGCCUCGACUCCUACGGGGGGCAGCAGUCUAGAGGCUUCGGCAAUGGACGAAAGUCUGACCGAGCGACGCCGCGUGGAGGAUGAAGGUCUUCGGAUUGUAAACUCCUUUCGGCUGGAAGGAAAGGGUAGGUGGCGAACUUACCUGUGACCGACCGGCGGAAGAAGCCCCGGCUAACUUCGUGCCAGCAGCCGCGGUAAUACGAAGGGGGCAAGCGUUAUUCGGAUUUAUUGGGCGUAAAGGGCGUGUAGGUGGCUUGAAAAGUCUGGUGUGAAAACGCUACCGCUCAACGGAGCGAAUGCGCUGGAUACUUUCAAACUUGAGUUCGAGAGAGGCAGGCAGAAUACCUGGUGUAGCGGUGGAAUGCUUAGAGAUCAGGUAGAAUACCCGAGGCGAAGGCGGCCUGCUGGCUCGUAACUGACACUGAGGCGCGAAAGCGUGGGGAUCAAACGGGAUUAGAUACCCCGGUAGUCCACGCUGUAAACGGUGAAUACUAGGUGUAGGGGGUACCCAUUCCCUCUGUGCCGUCGUUAACACAGUAAGUAUUCCGCCUGGGAAGUACGGCCGCAAGGUUGAAACUCAAAGGAAUCGACGGGGGCCCGCACAAGCGGUGGAGCAUGUGGUUUAAUUCGACGACGCGAAGAACCUUACCUGGGCUCGAAAUGCAGCUUACAGAGGAUGAAAGUCCUUGCCCUUCGGGGGUGCUGCAUAGGUGCUGCAUGGCUGUCGUCAGCUCGUGUCGUGAGAUGUUGGGUUAAGUCCCGCAACGAGCGCAACCCCCGUCCUUAGUUGCCAGCACGUAAUGGUGGGGACUCUAGGGAGACUGCCCCGGAUAACGGGGAGGAAGGUGGGGAUGACGUCAAGUCAUCAUGGCCCUUACGUCCAGGGCUACACACGUGCUACAAUGGCUGAGACAAUGCGCCGCCACUUGGCGACAAGGAGCGAAUCGCAUAAACUCGGUCCCAGUUCAGAUUGGAGGCUGCAACCCGCCUCCAUGAAGAUGGAAUCGCUAGUAAUCGCAGAUCAGCUACGCUGCGGUGAAUAUGUUCCCGGGCCUUGUACACACCGCCCGUCACGUCACGAAAGUUGGUUGUACCAGAAGUCGCUGUAGGAACCGCAAGGACCAAGGCGCCGAAGGUAUGACUAGUAAUUGGGACGAAGUCGUAACAAGGUA